Folsomia candida is the source of this 960-nucleotide long non-coding RNA. RefSeq lists it as uncharacterized. Lineage: Eukaryota; Metazoa; Arthropoda; Collembola; Entomobryomorpha; Isotomidae. The transcript has 3 exons. The record is from RefSeq and is a predicted model, not a curated record.
GAGAUUGAUGUACCCAGCAAGAUUCACGCAAGAGAAAGAGUCGCUCGUUUGCUUUCCUGUGUUGUUCCUUGUUCCUUCACGCACGUGCACCGUUGACCCACGGAAAUUAAAUAACACCCAAGUAAAUCGUCCAGUCCUUCCGUGGAACGCAGCCCUUGAACACUCUCCACAAUUUUGUUCACCAAAAUGACGGUCCGAAUUUUGCAUAUUUUACCCCUGACCAGCUUCGCUAUCAACUGGCACAAAGGAGGCGACCUCGUUGAACAAAUAGUCUAUGCAAAUGGCGGCUUCGUAAUUGCGAAUCCAAUCGACCGAAUAAUCACGUUGGUGGAAAAAUCUGGCAGAAAACAUAUUUUCCCGAUCCGUCGAAUUCCCGAAAUAAAGCUGGGAACUUCCGACUUGGAAAUGUUGGUUCGACUCGGGUCUCGACAAUCGUUCAUCCUAAACUUUGAAAAUGAGUGGGCAAAGGACACCGUGAUCGGAGAGCUGAACGUCAUCCGGGCAUAUUUCCGUGAUUUUGGGGUUUAGAAAAUUUUUUCCGAUUUGAGAAUUUUGACAACAAUGAACGGACCACAGCAAUUAUCACUCGCCCAUUUGAAGUCUUCCAAAGCCUAUACAUGCCUAUACAGUUAAAAAACAAAAAAAUUUAAAUUCUAGAGCAUUUCUUAUAUGUUAUAAUAAUUAAGUUCUUCCAUGGAUCUUGUUAAGGUCUUUAAUAUUCAUUCUACUUUUGUUUGCCUUUUUUGAUACACAUUUACAUAAUUUCAAAAACUAAAUAUGUAUUACAGAACUACAUAGAUAAAUAUGUGUGUGAAUAAGUUAGUUAAUUAAAUUUUAACAGUUUAAGGCAUUCUUUCGCCAACUUGCAUUAGUUGAUAGGAAAUAAUUUUAGAAAUACUUAUCCACAGUUGUUCAGCAGAUAAAUAAUUAACUGUAUAAAUGAGUAUCUGAUCUAAAAUA